GUAGUCAUAUGCUUGUCUCAAAGAUUAAGCCAUGCAUGUCUAAGUAUAAAUAACUUUAUAUUGUGAAACUGCGAAUGGCUCAUUAAAUCAGUUAUGAUCUACGUGACAAAUUCUUUACUACUUGGAUAACCGUGGUAAUUCUAGAGCUAAUACAUGCAAAAAAGCCCUGACUUACGAAGGGGUGCACUUAUUAGAUAAAACCAACGCGGGGUAAGACCUGUUUCUUGGUGAAUCAUAAUAAUUAAGCGGAUCGCAUGGCCUUGUGCCGGCGACGGUCCACUCGAUUUUCUGCCCUAUCAUGGUUGAGAUUGUAAGAUAGAGGCUUACAAUGCCUACAACGGGUAACGGGGAAU
Molecule: ribosomal RNA, 353 nt
Filed under: uncultured Rhizopus
Lineage: Eukaryota; Fungi; Mucoromycota; Mucoromycetes; Mucorales; Mucoraceae
Description: SSU rRNA
Rfam family: Eukaryotic small subunit ribosomal RNA
Source: RNAcentral